Molecule: ribosomal RNA, 525 nt
Filed under: uncultured bacterium
Lineage: Bacteria
Description: bacterial SSU rRNA
Rfam family: Bacterial small subunit ribosomal RNA
Source: RNAcentral
AGAGUUUGAUCAUGGCUCAGAACGAACGUUAGCGGCGCGCCUAAUACAUGCAAGUCGAGCGAGAAAGGGCUUCGGCCUGAGUAAAGCGGCGCACGGGUGAGUAACACGUAGGUAACCUACCCCCGAGUGGUGGAUAACUCUCCGAAAGGAGAGCUAAUACAGCAUGAGACCACUUAGUGGCCAAAGCGGGCCUCUCCAUGAAAGCUCGCGCUCGGGGAUGGGCCUGCGGCCCAUCAGCUAGUUGGUAGGGUAACGGCCUACCAAGGCAACGACGGGUAGCUGGUGUGGGAGGAUGAACCGCCAAACGGGAACGGAGAGACGGGCCAGCCUCCUACGGGAGGCAGCAGUAGGGAAUCUUGCGCAAUGGGCGAAAGCCUGACGCAGCGACGCCGCGUGAGUGAUGAAGGCCCUCGGGUUGUAAAGCUCUGUGGGGAGGGAAGAAUAAGCAAAGGCUAAUACCCUUUGUGAUGACGGUACCUCUUUAGCAAGCACCGGCUAACUCUGUGCCAGCCGCCGCGGUAAUUC